GUCGAACGGAGAAUACAUUUUUGAAGCAAUUAGCUUGCUAAGAGUGGAAAUGUUGUAUUCUUAGUGGCGGACGGGUGAGUAACGCGUGGAUAACCUGCCUCACACUGGGGGAUAACAGCCAGAAAUGGCUGCUAAUACCGCAUAAGCGCACAGCAUCGCAUGAUGUGGUGUGAAAAGCGUCAGUGGUGUGAGAUGGAUCCGCGUCUGAUUAGCUAGUUGGUAGGGUAAGAGCCUACCAAGGCGACGAUCAGUAGCCGGCCUGAGAGGGUGAACGGCCACAUUGGGACUGAGACACGGCCCAAACUCCUACGGGAGGCAGCAGUGGGGGAUAUUGCACAAUGGGGGAAACCCUGAUGCAGCGACGCCGCGUGAGUGAAGAAGUAUUUCGGUAUGUAAAGCUCUAUCAGCAGGGAAGAAAAUGACGGUACCUGACUAAGAAGCCCCGGCUAACUACGUGCCAGCAGCCGCGGUAAUACGUAGGGGGCAAGCGUUAUCCGGAUUUACUGGGUGUAAAGGGAGCGUAGACGGCAAGACAAGCCAGAUGUGAAAGGCAGGGGCUCAACCCCUGGACUGCAUUUGGAACUGCCUGGCUAGAGUGUCGGAGAGGUAAGUGGAAUUCCUAGUGUAGCGGUGAAAUGCGUAGAUAUUAGGAGGAACACCAGUGGCGAA
RNAcentral lists this ribosomal RNA (669 nucleotides) under uncultured bacterium. RNAcentral's name for it is "bacterial SSU rRNA". It matches the Rfam family "Bacterial small subunit ribosomal RNA", at positions 39 to 719 of the family's 1533-position model. The record is from RNAcentral.